This 468-nucleotide ribosomal RNA is filed under the name uncultured bacterium. RNAcentral's name for it is "partial 16S ribosomal RNA". It matches the Rfam family "Bacterial small subunit ribosomal RNA", at positions 28 to 507 of the family's 1533-position model. The record is from RNAcentral.
GACGAACGCUGGCGGCGUGCUUAACACAUGCAAGUCGAACGGAAAGGCCCUGCUUUUGUGGGGUGCUCGAGUGGCGAACGGGUGAGUAACAAGUGAGUAACCUGCCCUUGACUUUGGGAUAACUUCAGGUAACUGGGGCUAAUACCGGAUAGGAGCUCCUGCUGCAUGGUGGGGGUUGGAAAGUUUCGGCGGUUGGGGAUGGACUCGCGGCUUAUCAGCUUGUUGGUGGGGUAGUGGCUUACCAAGGCUUUGACGGGUAGCCGGCCUGGGAGGGUGACCGGCAAAAUUGGGACUGAGAUACGGCCCGGACUCCAACGGGAGGAAGCAGUGGGAAAUAUGGCACAAUGGGCGGAAGCCUGAUGCAGCAACGCCGGGUGCGGGAUGACGGCUUUCGGGUUGUAAACCGCUUUCGCCUGUGACGAAGCGUGAGUGACGGUAAUGGGUAAAGAAGCACCGGCUAACUACGUG